Molecule: long non-coding RNA, 360 nt
Organism: Anoplophora glabripennis (Asian longhorned beetle)
Lineage: Eukaryota; Metazoa; Arthropoda; Insecta; Coleoptera; Cerambycidae
Exons: 3
Source: RefSeq, a predicted model, not a curated record
AAUAACCGACAUGACAGCAGGUGAUGCCUUCGGCUACAUCGAUCCACCAAUAUCAAUAACGGACAUGACAGCAGGUGAUGCCUUCGGCUGCAUCGAUCCACCAAUAUCACACGAGGGCCCGUGCCAUUUUUUUAUUUAAUCAACAGCUAUGCUAAUAUUUUCUUUUGUUUUCUGUAUUUCAGAUAUUAGACCAUAUGAUCCCACAGUACCACCCCCGAGACAUUUCAUUAGAAGUGUCUCUGGGGAUGGUACUAUUAUUAACUGUUAUGCUUGGAAAUAAAAAAUUAAAUUUAUAAUUAGUUUUAAUUUAUAAAAAAGUGUAAAGUGGUUUUAUAAUAAUUCUGUGUAGGUAUGUGGAAA